AUUGAACGCUGGCGGCAGGCUUAACACAUGCAAGUCGAGCGGGGGAAGGCAGCUUGCUACCGGACCUAGCGGCGGACGGGUGAGUAAUGCUUAGGAAUCUGCCUAUUAGUGGGGGACAACAUCUCGAAAGGGAUGCUAAUACCGCAUACGUCCUACGGGAGAAAGCAGGGGAUCUUCGGACCUUGCGCUAAUAGAUGAGCCUAAGUCGGAUUAGCUAGUUGGUGGGGUAAAGGCCUACCAAGGCGACGAUCUGUAGCGGGUCUGAGAGGAUGGUCCGCCACACUGGGACUGAGACACGGCCCAGACUCCUGCGGGAGGCAGCAGUGGGGAAUAUUGGACAAUGGGGUGAACCCUGAUCCAGCCAUGCUGCGUGUGUGAAGAAGGCCUUAUGGUUGUAAAGCACUUUAAGCGAGGAGGAGGCUACUUUAGUUAAUACCUAGAGAUAGUGGACGUUACUCGCAGAAUAAGCACCGGCUAACUCUGUGCCAGCCGCCGCGGUAA
Molecule: ribosomal RNA, 501 nt
Filed under: uncultured bacterium
Lineage: Bacteria
Description: partial 16S ribosomal RNA
Rfam family: Bacterial small subunit ribosomal RNA
Source: RNAcentral